Molecule: long non-coding RNA, 680 nt
Filed under: Sorghum bicolor (sorghum)
Lineage: Eukaryota; Viridiplantae; Streptophyta; Magnoliopsida; Poales; Poaceae
Description: long non-coding RNA (SBIC_LNC014621)
Source: RNAcentral
GCCUCACUCAGCCAGGGGCACCACACGCCGUCGCUCGCAGUCUCGCAUGCGCCCCACCGCCCUUGCACGCCGCCGCUCCGGCCUCACGACUCGCGCAUCUCGCCUGUCGCCUCGGCUCCGGCCUCCCUCCUCUCAGUCCUCUGCUCGCUGUCUUGACCGCACCCAGAUGACCACACGUGCUCGGCGCUCGCAGCUUAGCUGUUCGCCCCUCGCGGUGGCCAGGGGGCCCUCGGUUGCUCGCCCCUCACAACGUCGGACCUCGGACUCGGCGGAGCCGUGGAGGCCAAACCAGGGGCGGCCUACGGUCAUAGGCCAGAGCCCCAAAGGCACAGGUGCUCGUCUCUACCGAAGCCUGUCCGGUCGUCCGGGUGCCCAGUAAAGGUACGUAUUCUUUCUAUUGUAGCUCAGUUCUUAUUUUCUUUUGAUUUCAAUUACUAAUUGUGAAAUUUUGAUUCCAAUUAGAUGAAGAGGACAAGGACUAUUGCAUCGUAUUUCUCUCGAAUAGAACAAAUCUUUACUAGACAGUAGGUAUUUAUUUUUCAAUGUUCAUUGAUAUUUUGUAGCUAUUGUAUCGUACUAUUAAUUAUAUAGUUCAAGAAUUUUUUCGGAUUUGCAAAUUUUGCUUGAGAAUUUUUAUUUUCUAUGAUAUAUGUGUAUAUAUAUAUAUGGUCCAAUAAACU